GAAGAUUUAUCAACUAAGUAAAACUUGUGAUUGAACUUUAACUCCAAAGCUAUCCAAUGCUAAGAUCAUAAGUUAGAUUCAUUAAUAUACUUCUUUCAAAGUCAAUAUUAUCAUGGUUUUUUAUCUUUUUUUAAACAAUAAUAUCUAAUAUUGAAUAAUCUAGAAGUUUUUUUGAGAGUGUUUUAAUCUUUAUUUGAAAAACU
RNAcentral lists this long non-coding RNA (203 nucleotides) under Physcomitrium patens. Its description in RNAcentral is "long non-coding RNA (PPAT_LNC012635)". The record is from RNAcentral. Lineage: Eukaryota; Viridiplantae; Streptophyta; Bryopsida; Funariales; Funariaceae.